UACGGAGGGUGCAAGCGUUAUCCGGAUUCACUGGGUUUAAAGGGUGCGUAGGAGGGCAGGUAAGUCAGUGGUGAAAUCUCCGGGCUUAACUCGGAAACUGCCGUUGAUACUAUCUGUCUUGAAUACCGUGGAGAUGAGCGGAAUAUGUCAUGUAGCGGUGAAAUGCUUAGAUAUGACAUAGAACACCAAUUGCGAAGGCAGCUGGCUACACGAAUAUUGACACUGAUGCACGAAAGCGUGGGGAUCAAACAGG
RNAcentral lists this ribosomal RNA (253 nucleotides) under uncultured bacterium. Its description in RNAcentral is "partial 16S ribosomal RNA". It matches the Rfam family "Bacterial small subunit ribosomal RNA", at positions 524 to 776 of the family's 1533-position model. The record is from RNAcentral.